RNAcentral lists this ribosomal RNA (700 nucleotides) under uncultured bacterium. RNAcentral's name for it is "bacterial SSU rRNA". The stretch from base 1 to 545 matches the Rfam family "Bacterial small subunit ribosomal RNA", at positions 338 to 873 of the family's 1533-position model. The record is from RNAcentral.
CCUACGGGAGGCAGCAGUAAGGAAUAUUGGUCAAUGGAGGCAACUCUGAACCAGCCAUGCCGCGUGCAGGAUGACGGCCCUAUGGGUUGUAAACUGCUUUAUUACAAGAGAAAACCCUACGGUACGUGUACCAGGUUGAUAGUAUUGUAAGAAUAAGCAUCGGCUAACUUCGUGCCAGCAGCCGCGGUAAGACGAAGGAUGCAAGCGUUAUCCGGAUUCAUUGGGUUUAAAGGGUGCGUAGGCGGACUGAUAAGUCAGUGGUGAAAUCUCUUUGCCUAACAAAGAAACUGCCAUUGAUACUGUCGGUCUAGAGUAUAGAUGACGUUGGCGGAAUAUGACAUGUAGUGGUGAAAUACUUAGAUAUGUCAUAGAACACCGAUUGCGAAGGCAGCUAACGAAACUAUAACUGACGCUGAGGCACGAAAGUGCGGGGAUCAAACAGGAUUAGAUACCCUGGUAGUCCGCACCGUAAACGAUGAUUACUCGUUGUUGGCGAGUAUAGANAGUCGAGCGACCGAACGACGAACGACGAGUAAGUAAGUACCGACCGUACGGGUACGGGUACGGACCCGGGACCCGGAACCGGUAACGGUAAACCGUAAACCGUAAACGGUAAAACGUUAAGGUACGGGACGGUACGGUAGGACGGUUACGGACCGGACCGGGACCGGACCGACCGACGGGGAGGGGUAGGGGUAGG